Molecule: ribosomal RNA, 1290 nt
Filed under: uncultured bacterium gp4
Lineage: Bacteria
Description: bacterial SSU rRNA
Rfam family: Bacterial small subunit ribosomal RNA
Source: RNAcentral
UUCGCCCUUAGAGUUUGAUCCUGUCUGAGAAUCAACGCUGGCGGCGUGCCUCAGACAUGCAAGUCGAACGCGAAAGUCUCCUUCGGGGGGCAAGUAGAGUGGCGCACGGGUGAGUAACACGUAGGUAAUCUACCUUUGGAUGGGGAAUAACAACCGGAAACGGUUGCUAAUACCGCAUAAUGCAGCGGCACCUAAUGGUGACAGUUGUUAAAGCGGGGGAUCGAAAGACCUCGCGUCUGAAGAGGAGCCUGCGGCGGAUUAGCUAGUUGGUAAGGUAAUGGCUUACCAAGGCUACGAUCCGUAACCGGCCUGAGAGGGCGGUCGGUCACACUGACACUGACAUACGGGUCAGACUCCUACGGGAGGCAGCAGUCGGGAAUUUUGGGCAAUGGGCGAAAGCCUGACCCAGCAACGCCGCGUGAAGGAUGAAAUCCCUCGGGAUGUAAACUUCGCAAGAAUGAGAAGAAUAAGUAGGGGACAAUACCCCCUAUGAUGACGGUAUCAUUUGUAAGCUCCGGCUAACUCCGUGCCAGCAGCCGCGGUAAUACGGGGGGAGCAAGCGUUGUUCGGAUUUACUGGGCGUAAAGGGCGCGUAGGCGGCCAGCGCAAGUCAGUUGUGAAAUCUCCGAGCUUAACUCGGAAAGGUCAACUGAUACUGCGCGGCUAGAGUGCAGAAGGGGCAACUGGAAUUCUCGGUGUAGCGGUGAAAUGCGUAGAUAUCGAGAGGAACACCAGCGGCGAAGGCGGGUUGCUGGGCUGACACUGACGCUGAGGCGCGAAAGCCAGGGGAGCGAACGGGAUUAGAUACCCCGGUAGUCCUGGCCUUAAACGAUGAAUGCUUGGUGUCUGGGGUUAUAAAGUCCCCGGGUGCCGUCGCUAACGCUUUAAGCAUUCCGCCUGGGGAGUACGGUCGCAAGACUGAAACUCAAAGGAAUUGACGGGGGCCCGCACAAGCGGUGGAGCAUGUGGUUCAAUUCGACGCAACGCGAAGAACCUUACCUGGGCUCGAAAUGCAGAUGACAUCCGAUGAAAGUCGGCUCCCGCAAGGGCAUCUGUAUAGGUGCUGCAUGGCUGUCGUCAGCUCGUGUCGUGAGAUGUUGGGUUAAGUCCCGCAACGAGCGCAACCCCUAUUAACAGUUGCUAACAAGUAAUGUUGAGAACUCUGUUAAGACUGCCGUUGAUAAAACGGAGGAAGGUGGGGAUGAUGUCAAGUCAUCAUGGCCUUUAUGUUCAGGGCUACACACGUGCUACAAUGGAUGGUACAAAACGUCGCAAUCUCGCAAGAGUGAG